Non-coding RNA from Ameiurus melas (black bullhead), 76 nucleotides. The record is from the annotation of a GenBank genome assembly. NCBI's taxonomy places the organism in Eukaryota, Metazoa, Chordata, Actinopteri, Siluriformes, Ictaluridae.
GGCAAUGGUGGCUCAAUGGUUAAGACUCUGGGUUCCUGAUCAAUAGGUUGGGGGUUCAAGCCCCUCUUGGCUGCCA